GCAAAAAUGAGCAUCAUCAUCAUCAACUGAUCGAUGUAAUACAAUAAGAAGUCCUCAAUCUUCAAUAAACGAAAGAAAAAACAAAAAGUCCAAACUGUAUGAAAUAUGCAACGAAGAAGAUCAAAUUGAGCAACAGCUAAUAGUAGAUAGAUUUUUACCAACUUGGUAUAAUAUAUAUGUGAAAUAGAAUGGAUACAUUUAAGCAGAGUUCUCAAGCAUGAACUUCUUGAUGAGUUCAAUAACUUCAUCUGCAGAUUCAGAGUAAGGAUUAUUAUUGAAGAAACCAUGCUGCUUUCCUUCAAAUUCAAUGUACUUAAUUUUCUUUCCCAUUUCUUUUAACCUUUUUGCAUACUCCUCUACCCUAUCUUUCAACAGUUCAUCGCUACCCACCAACACCAAGAUGGGAUCAAGAGCAACUGGUUCAAGAUUCAAGCUAGCUGGUCCAAAUGGGUUCGCCAAUGGGUGAUCUCUAUUUUCUCCAACAGGCAUAGAAAGCCUCCAAAAUCUGUCCAGAAUCUCUAGAUUCAGCAAAUGUUCACUAGGGCCUUCCUCUGACUUUGUCCUAGCAAGUCCACCAAAAAAUGGCGCCAAUAGGAUAUAACCUCGUACUCGAACCGGGGCCAACCCAUUCGAACCAGCACCAAACCGAACCGCUAAGUGGUGUGCAAUAUUACCACCAGAGGAGUCACCCAUAACAAAAACCUGCUCAAAGUUAACUUCACCACUACUAAGCCAUGCAUCUCCACCAUUUUCACUCCUCAAAGCCUGAGCUUGCAGCCACUGCAUGGCACGAAUUCCAUCCUCCAGCGCCGCCGGUAGCCUAUGCUCUGGCGCCAAACGGUAGUCUGGAGCGACAACAAGAGCGUUGAGCCCAGAAGCUAGCCGCAGACAGCAGUUGUGACAGUUAGGCCACAAGCGAGAGCCUACACAAAAACCACCGCCAUGAAUGAAAAACAAGAUGGGAAGUUUACAGUUUGAGGGUGAUAUCGACAUGGGUUUGUAAAGACGGAGAUGAAGGUUAUGAGUUUUGUCGAAGAGAUAGUCUCUAAAGAGGAUGGAGGUGUCAUUGAUGAUUGGUAGAUUGAAAUCAAUGUUUUUGGACCUGAAAAUGGUGCCAUCACUGAAGAGUUGGAGGACACCCAUGCAGUCUUCUACUAUAUGGGGGAGGGAACCCAUUUUUAGGUAAUUUUGGUUCUUGUAUUGGAGAUGAUGGUUUGGCAAUGGAGUUGUAUAUAUAGAGAAGAAGGGGAAGAGGAGGAGAAGAAGAAGUAUUAUUCAAAAGGAAAGGGUAAAUGUGUAAAUUGA
This 1305-nucleotide unclassified non-coding RNA is filed under the name Hevea brasiliensis (rubber tree). The record is from RNAcentral. Lineage: Eukaryota; Viridiplantae; Streptophyta; Magnoliopsida; Malpighiales; Euphorbiaceae.